RNAcentral lists this ribosomal RNA (465 nucleotides) under Vreelandella stevensii. Its description in RNAcentral is "partial 16S ribosomal RNA". It matches the Rfam family "Bacterial small subunit ribosomal RNA", at positions 338 to 795 of the family's 1533-position model. Lineage: Bacteria; Pseudomonadati; Pseudomonadota; Gammaproteobacteria; Oceanospirillales; Halomonadaceae. The record is from RNAcentral.
CCUACGGGAGGCAGCAGUGGGGAAUAUUGGACAAUGGGGGGAACCCUGAUCCAGCCAUGCCGCGUGUGUGAAGAAGGCCCUCGGGUUGUAAAGCACUUUCAGUGAGGAAGAACGCCUGGUGGUUAAUACCCAUCAGGAAAGACAUCACUCACAGAAGAAGCACCGGCUAACUCCGUGCCAGCAGCCGCGGUAAUACGGAGGGUGCGAGCGUUAAUCGGAAUUACUGGGCGUAAAGCGCGCGUAGGUGGCUUGAUAAGCCGGUUGUGAAAGCCCCGGGCUCAACCUGGGAACGGCAUCCGGAACUGUCAAGCUAGAGUGCAGGAGAGGAAGGUAGAAUUCCCGGUGUAGCGGUGAAAUGCGUAGAGAUCGGGAGGAAUACCAGUGGCGAAGGCGGCCUUCUGGACUGACACUGACACUGAGGUGCGAAAGCGUGGGUAGCAAGCAGGAUUAGAUACCCUUGUAGUC